GGCUACCAUGCAGUCGAGCGCGAAAGGCUUUCGGGCUGAGUAGAGCGGCGGACGGGUGAGUGACGCGUAGGAAUCUACCUGGUAGUGGGGGGCAACUUGGGGAAACUCAAGCUAAUACCGCAUACGCCCUAUGGGGGAAAGCGGGGGACCUUCGGGCCUCGCGCUAUCAGAUGAGCCUGCGUAGGAUUAGCUAGUUGGUGAGGUAAAGGCUCACCAAGGCGACGAUCCUUAGCUGGUCUGAGAGGAUGAUCAGCCACACUGGGACUGAGACACGGCCCAGACUCCUACGGGAGGCAGCAGUGGGGAAUAUUGCGCAAUGGGGGCAACCCUGACGCAGCCAUGCCGCGUGUGUGAAGAAGGCCUUCGGGUUGUAAAGCACUUUAAGUGGGGAAGAAAAGCUGUUGCCUAAUAAGCUGCAGCCCUGACAUUACCCACAGAAUAAGCACCGGCUAACUCCGUGCCAGCAGCCGCGGUAAUACGGAGGGUGCGAGCGUUAAUCGGAAUUACUGGGCGUAAAGCGCGCGUAGGCGGUUUGUUAAGUCAGCUGUGAAAGCCCCGGGCUCAACCUGGGAACUGCAGUUGAUACUGGCCGACUGGAGUACGAGAGAGGGAGGUAGAAUUCCAUGUGUAGCGGUGAAAUGCGUAGAUAUAUGGAGGAAUACCGGUGGCGAAGGCGGCCUCCUGGCUCGAUACUGACGCUGAGGUGCGAAAGCGUGGGGAUCAAACAGGAUUAGAUACCCUGGUAGUCCACGCCGUAAACGAUGUCUACUAGCCGUU
Molecule: ribosomal RNA, 777 nt
Filed under: uncultured bacterium
Lineage: Bacteria
Description: bacterial SSU rRNA
Rfam family: Bacterial small subunit ribosomal RNA
Source: RNAcentral